This is a long non-coding RNA of Rhineura floridana, 393 nucleotides long. RefSeq lists it as uncharacterized. The transcript has 3 exons. Lineage: Eukaryota; Metazoa; Chordata; Lepidosauria; Squamata; Rhineuridae. The record is from RefSeq and is a predicted model, not a curated record.
UUCACUAAGGAGACGUCACCAUCAAUGUUGCCGAGACAAGGGAGAAGGCACUGACUGCAGAUAACCUCAAAGGGCCCUGAAGGGAUCUAGGACCUAUUUAAAGGUGUCAGAGAGUCAUCCUUGGUUGCCGAGAAGGGCAAGGGAGUGUCACUGAAGCUACUGACGGGAAGUGAUACCUGUCCGAACUGCAGUGGAAUGGUAACAGCGCUGCAUGUGACGAACAUGGGGGGGAAGGAAAUUGAAGGCAUCAGCUGAAGGCAUCAAUUCUGACAUCCCUCUGCCUGCAAAGCUGCUGCCACCACCAAGGAGCUCCCACAAUGUUGCUGCCACCUCACCCAGAAGAAAAAGAAUAUCUCAGUAGUCAGACCACCUCAGCCGUGCUUACAACUGGCU